Molecule: ribosomal RNA, 515 nt
Filed under: Cladosporium cladosporioides
Lineage: Eukaryota; Fungi; Ascomycota; Dothideomycetes; Cladosporiales; Cladosporiaceae
Description: eukaryotic LSU rRNA
Rfam family: 5.8S ribosomal RNA (bases 158-311)
Source: RNAcentral
GGAAAAAAGGAGAGACCUAUCACGGGGAUGAUCAUAACCCUUUGUUGUCCGACUCUGUUGCCUCCGGGGCGACCCUGCCUUCGGGCGGGGGCUCCGGGUGGACACUUCAAACUCUUGCGUAACUUUGCAGUCUGAGUAAACUUAAUUAAUAAAUUAAAACUUUUAACAACGGAUCUCUUGGUUCUGGCAUCGAUGAAGAACGCAGCGAAAUGCGAUAAGUAAUGUGAAUUGCAGAAUUCAGUGAAUCAUCGAAUCUUUGAACGCACAUUGCGCCCCCUGGUAUUCCGGGGGGCAUGCCUGUUCGAGCGUCAUUUCACCACUCAAGCCUCGCUUGGUAUUGGGCAUCGCGGUCCGCCGCGUGCCUCAAAUCGACCGGCUGGGUCUUCUGUCCCCUAAGCGUUGUGGAAACUAUUCGCUAAAGGGUGUUCGGGAGGCUACGCCGUAAAACAACCCCAUUUCUAAGGUUGACCUCGGAUCAGGUAGGGAUACCCGCUGAACUUAAGCAUAUCAAUAAG